RNAcentral lists this unclassified non-coding RNA (265 nucleotides) under Glomeromycetes sp. RNAcentral's name for it is "partial internal transcribed spacer 2". The record is from RNAcentral. Lineage: Eukaryota; Fungi; Glomeromycota; Glomeromycetes.
GUGAAUCAUCGAAUCUUUGAACGCAAAUUGCACUCUCUUCGGUUCGUAUGAGUGUUUCAGGUUCAGCCUCAAAAAAAUAAAAAUCGUUGUUGUUUCUCGGUGGCGUUCGUCGGCAAUUGGGUUAUCUUAAAUCUUUGGUUUAUGCGACUUAAAAUUUUCUUUAUGAUUCCAUGAAUGUUUCCAAGUUUUAUUUUUUUACAUGUUUAAGGUAUCGAUUUUUUUAGGCGUGGUCGUCAUUUCGGUCCAUGUACAUAAUUUUUCGUAA